RNAcentral lists this ribosomal RNA (484 nucleotides) under uncultured bacterium. Its description in RNAcentral is "partial 16S ribosomal RNA". It matches the Rfam family "Bacterial small subunit ribosomal RNA", at positions 28 to 507 of the family's 1533-position model. The record is from RNAcentral.
AUUGAACGCUGGCGGCAUGCUUUACACAUGCAAGUCGAACGGCAGCGCGGGCUUCGGCCUGGCGGCGAGUGGCGAACGGGUGAGUAAUGCAUCGGAACGUGCCCAGUAGUGGGGGAUAGCCCGGCGAAAGCCGGAUUAAUACCGCAUACGACCUGAGGGUGAAAGCGGGGGACCGAAAGGCCUCGCGCUAUUGGAGCGGCCGAUGUCGGAUUAGCUAGUUGGUGGGGUAAAGGCUUACCAAGGCGACGAUCCGUAGCUGGUCUGAGAGGACGACCAGCCACACUGGGACUUGGACACGGCCCAGACUCCUACGGGAGGCAGCAGUGGGGAAUUUUGGACAAUGGGGGCAACCCUGAUCCAGCCAUGCCGCGUGCGGGAAGAAGGCCUUCGGGUUGUAAACCGCUUUUGUUCGGGAAGAAAUCCUCUGGGCUAAUACCCCGGGGGGAUGACGGUACCGGAAGAAUAAGCACCGGCUAACUACGUG